CGGAUGGCGGCAGCAUUAGGCAUGCAGUCGCACGUGAAGAGGAGCUUGCUCCUUGAGUAAAGUGGCGAACGGGUGAGUAACGCGUGAGAAACCUGCCUUGAAGAGGGGAAUAACACUCCCAACGGGGUGCUAAUACCGCAUGUGCUCGAUGGAUCGCAUGGUUCGUCGAGGAAAGGUGGCCUCUGCUCGCAAGCUAUCGCUUCAAGAGGGUCUCGCGUCCGAUUAGCUAGUUGGCGGGGUAAAAGCCCACCAAGGCUACGAUCGGUAGCUGGUCUGAGAGGAUGGUCAGCCACACUGGGACUGAGAUACGGCCCAGACUCCUACGGGAGGCAGCAGUCGAGAGGCUUCGGCAAUGGGGGCAACCCUGACCGAGCGACGCCGCGUGGAGGAUGAAGGCCCUUGGGUCGUAAACUCCUUUCGUGGGGAAAGAAUGUGUUCGAGGUGAAUAAUCUCGAGCAUUGACGGUACCCCAAGAAGAAGCUCCGGCUAACUCCGUGCCAGCAGCCGCGGUAAUACGGGGGGAGCAAGCGUUGUUCGGAAUCACUGGGCGUAAAGGGAGUCUAGGCGGUUCGGUAAGUGGGAUGUGAAAUGCCCCGGCUCACCCGGGGACCUGCAUCCCAAACUGCUGAGCUUGAGUACAGGAGAGGGUGGGGGAAUUCCAGGUGUAGCGGUGAAAUGCGUAGAUAUCUGGAGGAACACCGGUGGCGAAGGCGCCCACCUGGCCUGCUACUGACGCUGAAGCUCGAAAGCUAGGGGAGCAAACGGGAUUAGAUACCCCGGUAGUCCUAGCCGUAAACAGUGAUCACUAGGUGUUGGGAGCAUCGACCCUUCCAGUGCCGCAGCUAACGCAUUAAGUGAUCCGCCUGGGGAGUACGGCCGCAAGGUUGAAACUCAAAGGAAUUGACAGGGGCCCGCACAAGCGGUGGAGCAUGUGGUUCAAUUCGACGCAACGCGAAGAACCCUUACCCAGACUUGACAUGUACUGGACUGGUGUGAAACACAUCUUCCCCU
RNAcentral lists this ribosomal RNA (1011 nucleotides) under uncultured bacterium. RNAcentral's name for it is "bacterial SSU rRNA". It matches the Rfam family "Bacterial small subunit ribosomal RNA", at positions 34 to 1019 of the family's 1533-position model. The record is from RNAcentral.